CAAAUUUAAGCAAGAACUUUUAUAUUAAAAAUCUUUAUUGAGUCACUUUUUUAAUUAUUAUUUGAAGGAGAUAUGAAAAGAUUUUUUUGCUAAGAGGCAUGCAAAGCAAGCAACUAGCUGGAGUGUUUUAAAGGGCGCAGUCGAGCAUAUUAUAAUGUUAGAAAUAGUUAGUACAUUCAGAAACCAAAAUAACUAAGAAAUCUCAGUGGGCUUAAGGAAUUAAUAGGAAAAAUAUGAAAAGAAAAACAAAAAUUACAUGAGAUUGCAUUAAAUCAUGGGUGAUCUCAAAGAAAGAGACUAGAUAAUAGACGUUUAGUCUUUUUCCAGAACUAGAAGAUAAUAAGAUCCUAAUAUCCAGGAACUUCAAGGUUUUAUAAGUACGUUGGCUGAAAAUGUGAAAGAUGGUUUGAUGAAGU
This 416-nucleotide long non-coding RNA is filed under the name Ricinus communis (castor bean). Its description in RNAcentral is "long non-coding RNA (RCOM_LNC001963)". Lineage: Eukaryota; Viridiplantae; Streptophyta; Magnoliopsida; Malpighiales; Euphorbiaceae. The record is from RNAcentral.